UACGUAGGGUGCGAGCGUUGUCCGGAAUUAUUGGGCGUAAAGAGCUUGUAGGCGGUCUGUCGCGUCUGCUGUGAAAAUCCGGGGCUCAACCCCGGACUUGCAGUGGGUACGGGCAGACUAGAGUGUGGUAGGGGAGACUGGAAUUCCCGGUGUAGCGGUGAAAUGCGCAGAUAUCGGGAGGAACACCAAUGGCGAAGGCAGCUCGCUGGGACGGUACUGACGCUGAGGCGCGAAAGCGUGGGGAGCAAACAGG
This 253-nucleotide ribosomal RNA is filed under the name uncultured bacterium. Its description in RNAcentral is "partial 16S ribosomal RNA". It matches the Rfam family "Bacterial small subunit ribosomal RNA", at positions 524 to 776 of the family's 1533-position model. The record is from RNAcentral.